GUGGUUUAAUUCGACGCAACGCGAAGAACCUUACCUGGGCUUGACAUCCCGAUCGCACCUUAUGGAAACAUAGGGGUCAGUUCGGCUGGAUCGGUGACAGGUGCUGCAUGGCUGUCGUCAGCUCGUGUCGUGAGAUGUUGGGUUAAGUCCCGCAACGAGCGCAACCCUUGUCCUUAGUUGCCAGCAUUCAGUUGGGCACUCUAAGGAGACUGCCGGUGUCAAACCGGAGGAAGGUGGGGAUGACGUCAAGUCCUCAUGGCCCUUAUGUCCAGGGCUACACACGUGCUACAAUGGCCGGUACAAAGGGGCGCAAGACCGCGAGGUGGAGCAAAUCCCAAAAAACCGGUCUCAGUUCGGAUUGGAGUCUGCAACUCGACUCCAUGAAGUUGGAAUCGCUAGUAAUCGCGUAUCAGCAUGACGCGGUGAAUACGUUCCCGGGCCUU
This 443-nucleotide ribosomal RNA is filed under the name uncultured Desulfuromonas sp. RNAcentral describes it as "bacterial SSU rRNA". It matches the Rfam family "Bacterial small subunit ribosomal RNA", at positions 941 to 1382 of the family's 1533-position model. The record is from RNAcentral. Lineage: Bacteria; Pseudomonadati; Thermodesulfobacteriota; Desulfuromonadia; Desulfuromonadales; Desulfuromonadaceae.